GUCAGCUAGAGUCUUGUAGAGGGGGGUAGAAUUCCAUGUGUAGCGGUGAAAUGCGUAGAGAUGUGGAGGAAUACCGGUGGCGAAGGCGGCCCCCUGGACAAAGACUGACGCUCAGGUGCGAAAGCGUGGGGAGCAAACAGGAUUAGAUACCCUGGUAGUCCACGCUGUAAACGAUGUCGAUUUGAAGGUUGUUCCCUUGAGGAGUGGCUUUCGGAGCUAACGCGUUAAAUCGACCGCCUGGGGAGUCCGGCCGCAAGGUCAAAAUCAUAGGAAUUGACG
Molecule: ribosomal RNA, 279 nt
Filed under: Providencia vermicola
Lineage: Bacteria; Pseudomonadati; Pseudomonadota; Gammaproteobacteria; Enterobacterales; Morganellaceae
Description: partial 16S ribosomal RNA
Rfam family: Bacterial small subunit ribosomal RNA
Source: RNAcentral